RNAcentral lists this ribosomal RNA (65 nucleotides) under Sporobolus alterniflorus (smooth cordgrass). Its description in RNAcentral is "partial 28S ribosomal RNA". The record is from RNAcentral. Lineage: Eukaryota; Viridiplantae; Streptophyta; Magnoliopsida; Poales; Poaceae.
UAGGUUGACCUCGGAUCAGGUAGGAAUACCCGCUGAACUUAAGCAUAUCAAUAAGCCCGGAGGAA